CAAAUUUUACCAAUGUUCUUUCUGUCUACGGACUUGGAAAAACAAAUGAAAUUUUAUUCAACCAAAAGGAAUAGGCGUUUUCUCUUUGCAGUGGAGUUGGGUAAACAGUCAGCGAAAGAAAUAUUCGCAUUUUUUCUCCAAGCUCUUACCUAAGUAGCACUCCUGAAUAAAGGCCUGCAGAUAGGGUAAUUCUCACUACAGUGGUGUCAAGUGAAAACCUCCUACUAAUUGAGUCCCCUCACUGAGAUCCAGAGGAGAAACCUGGAG
RNAcentral lists this long non-coding RNA (267 nucleotides) under Chinchilla lanigera (long-tailed chinchilla). RNAcentral describes it as "lncRNA (ENSCLAG00000028720.1)". The record is from RNAcentral. Lineage: Eukaryota; Metazoa; Chordata; Mammalia; Rodentia; Chinchillidae.